Non-coding RNA from Punica granatum (pomegranate), 1850 nucleotides. The record is from RefSeq and is a predicted model, not a curated record. Lineage: Eukaryota; Viridiplantae; Streptophyta; Magnoliopsida; Myrtales; Lythraceae.
UGCUCUCGAUUAGUUUCUAUGUGGUGAUUUUGAUUAUUGAAGCUUUCAGUUGAUUGUGUUCUUGUUACCUUGGUGGCAUGGGGUUAAUUUAUUGAAUUAGAUAACUUAGUAAUACGACUUGAGGCCACGAACUUUCUUAAUCGUUGGCAAAUUAAGUUGAGAAGAAUUGAUAUUGUUGAUUUUCCUUGCUUAAGCUUAAUUUAUCUGAUUGCGUUCUAGUGAAAGUAAGAGUAUUUGGUUAGUGGGAUUAUGAAUUGGGAGUGAAGAACUAGGGAAUUAUGCUAGAGUUCAAGUUGGAGCCAAGUAUAGGCAUGUUUAGGUUGGUACUUGAUUCUUUUCUUCCACAUUCUAUCAUCCAAUUGGGUUGUUAUGUUGUGAAUCUAGAAUUAACAAUUAAUUGGAUUGUUUAAUUAAUAUGAUUUAAAAGCGCUAUGAUAUGCAAGAACAAAUAUGGGAGAGCUUCUUGGAAGUUGUAUAGAGGUACUGCAAUUGGAGGCUCGUUUAGAUUGCAAGGUUCGUUAACAUUGGUAAGGUGUAAUGAGCAUUAGAUUCGUGUAUUAUACAUUCAUUAUCUUCGUUGAGUUUCUCUAAGUAUGAUUGAGGGUUCGUGUGAGUAAUUUAGGUUUUUUUUUUGUUUCUCUUUUUGUAAUAGUAUAAUCCUGUUCAUAUUGGAUUGUCGAGGUUACUUGUCAUUGAGUAAUUUAGCAAUUGAAGUCCAUGAGCUACGUAUUUUGUCUGCUAAGGUGGUUAAUCACAUUUCAAAAUAUAUGUACUAUAUUUCUUGUAGAAUUAAGAAGCGUAAUUAUCUUGCUUGCGACAUCUUGGGUUUCUGAAAAUUGAUCUGUAGAUAUGAUCUAUGAUAUAAUCUUGUGCAAGGGUCUUGUGAAGGAGGAAAUAUUUUUGGUAGGGGUGUGAUUUGGCAAUGUGAUACCUAUUGAUGAAAUUAGUAUGUUUUAUAAAUUGUUUUUCUUUUUAUGCCUAUGAUUUAUAGGAGUUGAAGAGACUGGAACUUUGCAUUCUGAAAGCUCGUCUUUCUUAAAUAGUAUAUUGGAAGUUUGGUAAAUGCUCUAUUUUUUUGUGAAAUGAUAUACAUAUAUAUAUAUAUAUUAUAUGAAUACAAAUUAUAUGGAGUAUUAUUUAAGAAGAAUAUUGUGAUAGAUAUAGAUUAAGAAAUCGGUUUUGCUAUGUUGUGUGAAAGGAUUUGCCCUCUUAUGUUUCAUUUUGGCUUGAGAUAUGUGAUGUGAUUGUGCAUGCUGAUCAUGUAUAACAUAUGUGAUGAUAAUAUGAAGUAAUCUGUAAGGAUUGUGCUUGUGUAUACUGAUAUUGUUUGAUCAUUUAUAGCUAUGGGACCGCUGAUCCGGCGGUAUAUAAAUAAGACGCAUAGACUGCUGAUCUAGCGGGAUACAAAAAGGGACGCCUAGACCGCUGAUCCGGCGGGAUAUAAAAUGGAUGCCUAGACUCUUACUGCCGGAGGAUAAUGGGCAGCCCCCGCUUAUGAGACAUGAAAUGAGAAAUUUAUGGAUAUGAGUACGAGGUCACGAUGGGUUAGGAGCUAUACUAGCAACACAAGAGAACUUUUUGGACAUCGGGGAUCAGCUUGGAGGACUAGGUAGGAACCUUAGUUAUUAGUUAAAUAUUCUUUUUGUAUAGAAUAUAUUGAAAAUGUUACGAUCUGAAUCUUUAUUUAGUUGGUUUAGUGAUGUAGUUCUGCUGGAAUAUAUGUGUGUGCGCGCGCACGCGCGUGUGUGAGAGAGCUUGCUGGAUUGGUUAUAUGUUUUUGGAAAUUAUGGAAAGUAGGUUUUUAUGUUAAUAGUUCAUGUGAUAAUGAAUAUCGAGGAAUCUUAGGGAAA